UGGCUCAGCAUUAACGCUAGCGACAGGCCUAACACAUGCAAGUCGAGGGGCAUCGGGGCGAGGAGCAAUCCUUGCCGCCGGCGACCGGCGCACGGGUGAGUAACGCGUAUGCGACCUGCCCGUUGCAGGGGGAUAAUCGGGAGAAAUCCCGUCUAAUACCGCGUAAUGCCGCGGGGCUGCAUGGCCCUGCGGCCAAAGGGAGCGAUUCCGGCAACGGAUGGGCAUGCGUGACAUUAGCUAGUUGGCGGGGCAACGGCCCACCAAGGCGACGAUGUCUAGGGGUUCUGAGAGGAAGGUCCCCCACACUGGUACUGAGACACGGACCAGACUCCUACGGGAGGCAGCAGUGAGGAAUAUUGGUCAAUGGGCGCGAGCCUGAACCAGCCAAGUCGCGUGAGGGAUGACGGCCCUACGGGUUGUAAACCUCUUUUGUCGGGGAGCAAAUUCCGCCACGUGUGGCGGAGUCGAGAGUACCCGAAGAAAAAGCAUCGGCUAACUCCGUGCCAGCAGCCGCGGUAAUACGGAGGAUGCGAGCGUUAUCCGGAUUUAUUGGGUUUAAAGGGUGCGUAGGCGGACUGUCAAGUCAGCGGUAAAAUACGGGGGCUCAACCUCCGCCCGCCGUUGAAACUGACGGUCUUGAGUGGGCGAGAAGUAUGCGGAAUGCGUGGUGUAGCGGUGAAAUGCAUAGAUAUCACGCAGAACUCCGAUUGCGAAGGCAGCAUACCGGCGCCCGACUGACGCUGAAGCACGAAAGCGUGUGUAUCGAACAGGAUUAGAUACCCUGGUAGUCCACGCAGUAAACGAUGAAUACUAGCUGUCCGGGGCGAAUGAGCCCUGGGUGGCACAGCGAAAGCGUUAAGUAUUCCACCUGGGGAGUACGCCGGCAACGGUGAAACUCAAAGGAAUUGACGGGGGCCCGCACAAGCGGAGGAACAUGUGGUUUAAUUCGAUGAUACGCGAGGAACCUUACCCGGGCUCAAACGACACAGGAACGUACCUGAUAGGGUUCGGCUCUACGGAGCCUGUGUCGAGGUGCUGCAUGGUUGUCGUCAGCUCGUGCCGUGAGGUGUCGGCUUAAGUGCCAUAACGAGCGCAACCCCCAUCGACAGUUGCUAACAGGUCAGGCUGAGGACUCUGUCGAGACUGCCGGCGCAAGCUGCGAGGAAGGCGGGGAUGACGUCAAAUCAGCACGGCCCUUACGUCCGGGGCGACACACGUGUUACAAUGGCAGGUACAGCGGGAAGCCACCUGGCGACAGGGAGCGGAACCCGAAAGCCUGUCUCAGUUCGGAUUGGAGUCUGCAACCCGACUCCAUGAAGCUGGAUUCGCUAGUAAUCGCGCAUCAGCCACGGCGCGGUGAAUACGUUCCCGGGCCUUGUACACACCGCCCGUCAAGCCAUGGAAGCCGGGGGUGCCUGAAGUGCGCUGCCGCGAGGAGCGCCCUAGGGUAAAACCGGUGACUGGGGCUAAGUCGUAACAAGGUA
Molecule: ribosomal RNA, 1484 nt
Filed under: uncultured bacterium
Lineage: Bacteria
Description: 16S ribosomal RNA
Rfam family: Bacterial small subunit ribosomal RNA
Source: RNAcentral